This 439-nucleotide ribosomal RNA is filed under the name uncultured bacterium. RNAcentral describes it as "bacterial SSU rRNA". It matches the Rfam family "Bacterial small subunit ribosomal RNA", at positions 43 to 524 of the family's 1533-position model. The record is from RNAcentral.
CAGGCCUAACACAUGCAAGUCGAACGAUGGUCUUCGGAUCAUAGUGGCGCACGGGUGCGUAACGCGUGGGAAUCUGCCCUGGGGUCUGGGAUAACCGUUGGAAACGACGGCUAAUACCGGAUGAUGAUGAAAAUCCAAAGAUUUAUCGCCCUGGGAUGAGCCCGCGUUGGAUUAGGUAGUUGGUGGGGUAAAGGCCUACCAAGCCGACGAUCCUUAGCUGGUCUGAGAGGAUGAUCAGCCACACUGGGACUGAGACACGGCCCAGACUCCUACGGGAGGCAGCAGUGGGGAAUAUUGGACAAUGGGCGAAAGCCUGAUCCAGCAAUGCCGCGUGAGUGAUGAAGGCCUUAAGGGUUGUAAAGCUCUUUUACCCAGGGAUGAUAAUGACAGUACCUGGAGAAUAAGCUCCGGCUAACUCCGUGCCAGCAGCCGCGGUAAU